GAUGAACGCUAGCGGCAGGCCUAAUACAUGCAAGUCGAACGAGAUUAAGAGGCUUGCUUCUUAUGAAAGUGGCGCACGGGUGCGUAACGCGUAUGCAACCUACCUUAAUCAGGGGGAUAGCCCGAAGAAAUUCGGAUUAAGACCGCAUAAAAACACAGGAUAGCAUUAUCCACUGUUCAAAUAUUUAUAGGAUUAAGAUGGGCAUGCGUGUCAUUAGCUAGUUGGCGGGGUAACGGCCCACCAAGGCGACGAUGACUAGGGGAUCUGAGAGGAUGACCCCCCACACUGGUACUGAGACACGGACCAGACUCCUACGGGAGGCAGCAGUAAGGAAUAUUGGUCAAUGGAGGGAACUCUGAACCAGCCAUGCCGCGUGCAGGAAGACAGCCCUCUGGGUCGUAAACUGCUUUUAUUCGGGAAUAAACCUUUCUACGUGUAGGAAGCUGAAUGUACCGAAGGAAUAAGGAUCGGCUAACUCCGUG
RNAcentral lists this ribosomal RNA (482 nucleotides) under uncultured bacterium. RNAcentral describes it as "partial 16S ribosomal RNA". It matches the Rfam family "Bacterial small subunit ribosomal RNA", at positions 28 to 507 of the family's 1533-position model. The record is from RNAcentral.